This 429-nucleotide ribosomal RNA is filed under the name Acidobacteriota bacterium. RNAcentral's name for it is "Acidobacteria bacterium partial 16S ribosomal RNA". It matches the Rfam family "Bacterial small subunit ribosomal RNA", at positions 355 to 776 of the family's 1533-position model. Lineage: Bacteria; Pseudomonadati; Acidobacteriota. The record is from RNAcentral.
UGGGGAAUUUUGGACAAUGGGGGAAACCCUGAUCCAGCCAUCCCGCGUGUGCGAUGAAGGCCUUCGGGUUGUAAAGCACUUUUGGCAGGAAAGAAACGUCAUGGGUUAAUACCCCGUGAAACUGACGGUACCUGCAGAAUAAGCACCGGCUAACUACGUGCCAGCAGCCGCGGUAAUACGUAGGGUGCAAGCGUUAAUCGGAAUUACUGGGCGUAAAGCGUGCGCAGGCGGUUCGGAAAGAAAGAGGUGAAAUCCCAGGGCUCAACUUUGGAACUGCAUUUUUAACUACCGGGCUAGAGUGUGGCAGAGGGAGGUGGAAUUCCGCGUGUAGCAGUGAAAUGCGUAGAUAUGCGGAAGAACACCGAUGGCGAAGGCAGCCUCCUGGGAUAAUACUGACGCUCAUGCACGAAAGCGUGGGGAGCAAACAGG